RNAcentral lists this transfer RNA (73 nucleotides) under Acidimicrobiales bacterium. RNAcentral describes it as "tRNA-Thr". It matches the Rfam family "tRNA". Rfam says of the family: Transfer RNA (tRNA) molecules are approximately 80 nucleotides in length. Their secondary structure includes four short double-helical elements and three loops (D, anti-codon, and T loops). Lineage: Bacteria; Bacillati; Actinomycetota; Acidimicrobiia; Acidimicrobiales. The record is from RNAcentral.
GCCCGGGUAGCUCAGCUGGUAGAGCAACGCUCUCGUAAAGCGUAGGUCGUCGGUUCGACUCCGAUCUCGGGCU